This 253-nucleotide ribosomal RNA is filed under the name uncultured bacterium. RNAcentral's name for it is "partial 16S ribosomal RNA". It matches the Rfam family "Bacterial small subunit ribosomal RNA", at positions 524 to 776 of the family's 1533-position model. The record is from RNAcentral.
UACGGGGGGGGCAAGCGUUGUUCGGAAUUACUGGGCGUAAAGGGCUCGUAGGUGGCCAACUAAGUCAGACGUGAAAUCCCUCGGCUUAACCGGGGAACUGCGUCUGAUACUGGAUGGCUUGAGUUUGGGAGAGGGAUGCGGAAUUCCGGGUGGAGUGGUGAAAUGCGUAGAGAUCCGGAGGAACACCAAAGGCGAAGGCAGUGUCCUGGGGAGUACCUGACGCUCAGGUGCGAAAGCCAGGGGAGCGAACGGG